GUGUUCGUAAAAAGGAGAGACGGUUGGCAUCUCCCCUGACAGGGACGGGAACGGUCUUCGGACUUUCCUCUAGCACAUAGCGGUUAAGGCUACCCGCUUCGGCGGAUCUUACCCAAAUUUUUUU
RNAcentral lists this non-coding RNA (124 nucleotides) under Brachypodium distachyon (stiff brome). Lineage: Eukaryota; Viridiplantae; Streptophyta; Magnoliopsida; Poales; Poaceae. The record is from RNAcentral.